CGGCCAGACAAGUCCGUUGGGAAAUCGACGUGCCCAACGCGUCGGCGUCCAGCGGAAACUGUCUGGCUUGGGGCCGGAAGACCCGAGGGGUACGUCCGGGGUAGGAGUGAAAUCCCGUAAUCCUGGACGGACCACCGGUGGCGAAAGCGCCUCGGGAAGACGGACCCGACGGUGAGGGACGAAAGCUGGGGUCUCGAACCGGAUUAGAUACCCGGGUAGUCCCAGCCGUAAACGAUGCUCGCUAGGUGUGGCGCAGGCUACGAGCCUGCGCUGUGCCGUAGGGAAGCCGUGAAGCGAGCCGCCUGGGAA
RNAcentral lists this ribosomal RNA (309 nucleotides) under uncultured archaeon. RNAcentral describes it as "bacterial SSU rRNA". It matches the Rfam family "Archaeal small subunit ribosomal RNA", at positions 526 to 834 of the family's 1478-position model. The record is from RNAcentral.